Molecule: ribosomal RNA, 165 nt
Filed under: uncultured bacterium
Lineage: Bacteria
Description: partial 16S ribosomal RNA
Rfam family: Bacterial small subunit ribosomal RNA
Source: RNAcentral
UAGGGAAUCUUCGGCAAUGGACGAAAGUCUGACCGAGCAACGCCGCGUGAGUGAAGAAGGUUUUCGGAUCGUAAAACUCUGUUGGUAGAGAAGAACGUUGGUGAGAGUGGAAAGCUCAUCAAGUGACGGUAACUACCCAGAAAGGGACGGCUAACUACGUUCCAG